CCCUGCCUGGAGUGCUAUUCAGCGGGGAGACUGGGAGGCCGCCAGAUGGCUGCCCGGCCUUGUCCUGGACGGAAUGCAGCGUUCUCUUUGAUAUAGACUGUCACUGAACAACGAGAUGCUGUUUCUUUUCUCUUGCUGUGUCUUUCGUUCCCAGAUUAUUGCUUCUUCUGUGGUGCUCUCUUUUUGGACCAUGCCCCAGGGCCCAUUUGGAUGUAGUUAUCAACCACUGGUUUAGUGAGGCCACUGUUCUCUUCUCCAUCCCGCAACACGCUUCCCAUGAGAGCCAGAGCUGUGCUCACUGAGCUUAGAAGGGGCGGAAACUGACUGCACGGGUUUUCAGGGACCCAGGAAGGAAAGCCAUGCCAGCCAAUGAAAUGUAAGCAGUGGGAGGAGCUUCCUCCUUAAACUCUGGUUUGGGUGAGUUGGCCAAACCAGACAACACACUCCAGCCUCUGGACCAUCGGUUUGGGUUCAGGAGCAAUAACCCUUCUGAGUGGAAUUGACACCCACAAGAUGAUCUUAUAGUGCCUCCAAAAUGGCAAAAUGGAUGGUUCUCCUUCCUUUUGCUUUCAAGUGGCUACUGCAGUGCUGUUGCUGUUUCCAGCAGGCGCAGCUCUCCGAAAUCCUUCUUACCAUUUAUUGCUAUUAUCCAUCAAUAUAG
This is a long non-coding RNA of Hemicordylus capensis (graceful crag lizard), 661 nucleotides long. RefSeq lists it as uncharacterized. The record is from RefSeq and is a predicted model, not a curated record. The transcript has 4 exons. NCBI's taxonomy places the organism in Eukaryota, Metazoa, Chordata, Lepidosauria, Squamata, Cordylidae.